Paramuricea clavata is the source of this 446-nucleotide non-coding RNA. The record is from the annotation of a GenBank genome assembly. Lineage: Eukaryota; Metazoa; Cnidaria; Anthozoa; Malacalcyonacea; Plexauridae.
AUUUCAUAAUUAUAACCUAUAUACACCAGUUACAUGCAGUUAUAUACAGUAUUUAUAACGUCCAUCAUUUUAUCAUUCUAAGAUUAAAAUUUGUCAACAGAAUGACAUAUACAGCUUAUAUCAAAUUAUAUUUGCACCGACAAUGCAUAUGUACCAAACUAUGGUAGGCGAGCACGCCCAGGUAAUGAUCUUUGUUUGCAAAAUAUCCAGUGUACAGUAAUUGCCCAAUAACUCAGGCAAUGCAAAGCAAUUAUACUCUUGUCAUGAGGCACGCCAGCUCAUUUCCAUAUAAAAUGAAAUGUAAUGUUUUCUAACCAAUAUUGCAUCACUAUUAGAAAUCCAGCUCAUUAACCCAUUAAGCGCCAGCGCUCUCCCCUUGACGAGUAAAAUCGUCUGGCGUUAGACAGAGUAAAAUACUAAAGUGGGGUGCAUCAGGGUGCAAUGCG